Pomacea canaliculata is the source of this 1198-nucleotide long non-coding RNA. RefSeq lists it as uncharacterized. NCBI's taxonomy places the organism in Eukaryota, Metazoa, Mollusca, Gastropoda, Architaenioglossa, Ampullariidae. The transcript has 4 exons. The record is from RefSeq and is a predicted model, not a curated record.
AAAUUUUUCUUGUGAACUGCGCAUGCGUGAAUAAAGAAAUAAAAGAAAGCCGGCAGCCCGCUAACCUAUCAGAUGACUGGGUGAGCAGACCACGGGAGGUCAAGAAACAGAAGUGCUGACGUAAGAAUCGACACGUGACUGAAACAGAAGCGACCAGUGCAGUCACCGAGUGGAUGGUAAUCACUAGCAGUUGAGAAAACAGCCAAGAAAUAAGAGAAGAUGGUCAAGAUGACAAGUGGAGUCUGGUUGCUUGUGCUGUUGCCUUGCUUGCUGAACAGCCUGGUAUGCGCGAGGCCAUCGGCAGUCGAGGUCGACACGUCCCACCACCGUGCUGACCACGAGCUUCAUCAUUCAAGACGUGAAGCGCACAGGACACGGUCUCCUUGCUGCAUCUUGUGCAAGAAGUCGUCGUGCAAAAUCACUUGUACCACCAUGUGCGAUAAAUAUUCAGGCCGUUAAAGUUCCUGGACAUCGUUACCAAAGUCUUAUUCUGCAAUCAGCUGCUUACUCUAAAUGCAAUGGCCAAGCUGCUUUUUUCUGUUCUUUUUUUUUUUUUUUGCCGACGAGAAAGAAGUUGAUUUAAAUGCGGAGACAGUCAUAUACAAGUAGUCUCCCUGUUAUUGGUGAAUUAAACUUCUUUUGUUUGUGUUUGCAAAAAGCAAUUUAAAAAAAAAUAACUAUUACUUUCCUGCUGAAACAUGUCCAUCAUUUUAAAGAAGCAUCUUUCGUGGAGCUGCAGUUGUAUCCCUUAUGUUAAUAUGACCCAAAUCUUACACGUGGACAUAAUAUUGAGAAUAUAAAUCUUAAAUCUUAACCCGACAUGUUAAACAUUUAAUCAGAGAUCUUAAGCAAUAAACCCACAUUUUAAAUAUUGAAUUAUUAUGGAGUCCAAUUUUGCUACCGGUAUGCGCAACUUAUCUUAAAUAGACAAAACUUAUCGGGAGAACUAAUUAACACGACUAUUGUUGUUAACGUGGUAUUGCUUAUAUUUUUUUCAAUGUCAGGUAGUCAUACACUGAGCCUACUGUCGUGCUCACCUUGUUAGGAUUAAGAGAUUUCUCUACUGAUAAUGCUGCAAAACUUCCAAAAUAUACUAACAUGGUGCCUAUAAAUAGACUUUAGCUUCCAGGAGAAUAUUGAGUCAUCUUGAUUGAAAGCUGAUCAACUAAUGGAUUUUAAUAAAUUUAUUUGAGUGCCA